GAUGAACGCUGACAGAAUGCUUAACACAUGCAAGUCAACUUGAAUUUGGGUUUUUAACUUCGGUUUGGGUGGCGGACGGGUGAGUAACGCGUAAAGAACUUGCCUCACAGCUAGGGACAACAUUUGGAAACGAAUGCUAAUACCUAAUAUUAUGAUAAUAGGGCAUCCUAUAAUUAUGAAAGCUAUAAGCGCUGUGAGAGAGCUUUGCGUCCCAUUAGCUAGUUGGAGAGGUAACGGCUCACCAAGGCGAUGAUGGGUAGCCGGCCUGAGAGGGUGAUCGGCCACAAGGGGACUGAGACACGGCCCUUACGCCUACGGGAGGAAGCAGUGGGGAAUAUUGGACAAUGGACCGAGAGUCUGAUCAAGCAAUUCUGUGUGCACGAUGAAGUUUUUCGGAAUGUAAAGUGCUUUCAGUUGGGAAGAAACAAAUGACGGUACCAACAGAAGAAGUGACGGCUAAAUACGUG
RNAcentral lists this ribosomal RNA (467 nucleotides) under uncultured bacterium. RNAcentral describes it as "partial 16S ribosomal RNA". It matches the Rfam family "Bacterial small subunit ribosomal RNA", at positions 28 to 507 of the family's 1533-position model. The record is from RNAcentral.